GACGAACGCUGGCGGCGUGCUUAACACAUGCAAGUCGAGCAGUAAGGCCCUUUCGGGGGUACACGAGCGGCGAACGGGUGAGUAACACGUGGGUGACCUGCCUUUAGCUCUGGGAUAAGCCUGGGAAACUGGGUCUAAUACCGGAUAUGACUCCGCGGUGCAUGCUGUGGGGUGGAAAGCCUUGUGCGGCUGGAGAUGGGCCCGCGGCCUAUCAGCUUGUUGGUGGGGUGANGGCCUACCAAGGCGACGACGGGUAGCCGGCCUGAGAGGGCGACCGGCCACACUGGGACUGAGACACGGCCCAGACUCCUACGGGAGGCAGCAGUGGGGAAUCUUGCGCAAUGGGCGAAAGCCUGACGCAGCAACGCCGCGUGAGUGAUGAAGGCCU
RNAcentral lists this ribosomal RNA (388 nucleotides) under uncultured bacterium. RNAcentral's name for it is "bacterial SSU rRNA". It matches the Rfam family "Bacterial small subunit ribosomal RNA", at positions 28 to 417 of the family's 1533-position model. The record is from RNAcentral.